AGGCCGGGGGGAGUACUAACGAGGAUUCCCUCAGUAACGGCGAGUGACGCGGGAUCUAGCCCAGCACCGAAUCCCCCGGCGGAACGCCGGCGGGAACAGUGGUGUUCGGGACGACCCACGCCCGUCGGUCGGACGCCCGAGUCCUCCUGAUAGGGGCUUCUCCCAUAGAGGGUGUAAGGUACCUACUGUGUCAGGUCAACAAGCCCGUGUAGUGCUAAGUUUUUUUAUGCGAGAGCGCGAUCCAAAAAUGGGGUUGGAGCCGCCCACAGGGGGCACCUGACCCACCAUAAAAAAGGUGGGUCUGUCUAGCAAGUGAG
RNAcentral lists this ribosomal RNA (317 nucleotides) under Megascolex sp. 6 PK-2012. RNAcentral's name for it is "partial 28S ribosomal RNA". The record is from RNAcentral. Lineage: Eukaryota; Metazoa; Annelida; Clitellata; Crassiclitellata; Megascolecidae.